RNAcentral lists this ribosomal RNA (2184 nucleotides) under human gut metagenome. RNAcentral describes it as "bacterial LSU rRNA". It matches the Rfam family "Bacterial large subunit ribosomal RNA", at positions 221 to 2403 of the family's 2925-position model. The record is from RNAcentral.
GAAAUCAAACGAGACUCCCAAAGUAGCGGCGAGCGAAAUGGGAAGAGCCCAAACCAUGUGGUUUCGACCAUGUGGGGUUGUAGGGCCGCCGGACGUGAUUCUGGAGUAGGCAGGAGAAGUCGGCUGGAAAGCCGCGCCGGAGCGAGUGAAAGCCUCGUAUCCGAAACCGAAAAGGACACAGGCGGUACCUGAGUACCGCGGGGCACGAGAAACCCCGUGGGAAUCCGGGAGGACCAUCUUCCAAGGCUAAGUACGAAUCAGCGACCGAUAGUGAACCAGUACCGUGAGGGAAAGGUGAAAAGAACCCCUGUCAGGGGAGUGAAAGAGAAUCUGAAACCUGUUGCUUACAAGCUGUGGGAGCCACAUAACGGUGGUGACCACGUGCCUUUUGCAUAAUGAGUCAGCGAGUUAAUCUGUCGUGCGAGGUUAAGCGAGAGCGGAGCCGUAGCGAAAGCGAGUCUGAUAAGGGCGACAAGUACGGCGGAUUAGACCCGAAACCGGGUGAUCUAUCCAUGAGCAGGUUGAAGCAAGGGUAAAGCCUUGUGGAGGACCGAACCAGUAUCGGCUGAAAACGAUUUGGAUGACUUGUGGAUAGGGGUGAAAGGUCAAUCAAACCCGGUGAUAGCUGGUUCUCCCCGAAAUAUAUUGAGGUAUAGCCUCGGGGAUUGUCUGUCGGAGGUAAAGCACUGACAAGGCUAGGGGUCCUACCAGAUUACCAAACCUUUUCAAACUCAGAAUGCCGACAAGAUGUACCCCGGGAGUCAGACGGCGGGUGCUAAGGUCCGUCGUCGAGAGGGUAAGAGCCCAGAUCGACAGCUAAGGUCUCGAAAUCCAUGCUCAGUGGUGAAGGUGGUGGAGUUGUACAGACAGCCAGGACGUUGGCUUAGAAGCAGCCAUCGUUUAAAGAAAGCGUAAUAGCUCACUGGUCUAAUGACUCUGCGCCGAAAAUGUAACGGGGCUAAGCAUGGUACCGAAGCUUCGGAUUCCUCUUUUGAGGAGUGGUAGGGGAGCGUUCUCUAUGGGCAGAAGCUGCAUUGUAAAGUGCGGUGGACGGUAGAGAAGUGAUUAUGCUGACAUGAGUAACGAUAAAACAGGUGAAAAACCUGUUCGCCGAAAACCCAAGGUUUCCUGGGUAAAGUUAAUCUUCCCAGGGUGAGUCGGACCCUAAGGCGAGGGCGAAAGCCGUAGCUGAUGGAAAACGGGUUAAUAUUCCCGUACUUCUUGUGGUGUGCGAUGGAGGGACGCAGAAAGAUAGGUGGGCCAACUGUUGGAUGUUGGUGCAAGCUGGUAGGAAUGCCUCGCCGGCAAAUCCGCGAGGUGAAUCCGAGAAGCGAGUCCGUGGGCGCAAGCCCUGAAGCCAUUGAGUCUCCGCUGCCAAGAAAAGCUCCUAAGUUUAGCCAUGAGGAUCCGUACUGCAAACCAACUCAGGUGGGUGGGAUGAAUAAUCCGAGGCGCUCGAGAGAACUCUGGCCAAGGAACUCGGCAAAAUGACCCCGUAACUUCGGAAGAAGGGGUGCUUUUUCAGGUGACCAUUUUUACAUUGGAAGCCGGAGGAAGCCGCAGUGAAUUGGUGGUGGCGACUGUUUACUAAAAACAUAGGUCUGUGCGAAGUCGCAAGACGACGUAUACGGACUGACGCCUGCCCGGUGCCGGAAGGUUAAGAGGAGAGGUCAGCGCAAGCGAAGCCUUGAAUCGAAGCCCCGGUAAACGGCGGCCGUAACUAUAACGGUCCUAAGGUAGCGAAAUUCCUUGUCGGGUAAGUUCCGACCUGCACGAAUGGCGUAACGAUCUCCACACUGUCUCGGCCAGAGACUCGGUGAAAUUGAAGUCGCGGUGAAAAUGCCGUGUACCCGCAGAAAGACGGAAAGACCCUGUGCACCUUUACUAUAGCUUGACAUUGGAUUUUGGGCCUACAUGUGUAGGAUAGGUGGGAGGCAAUGAAAUCUGUACGCCAGUAUGGAUGGAGCCACUGUUGAAAUACCACCCUUGUAUGUCUAAGGUCCUAACUCCACGCAGUGAACCUGCUGGAAGACAUUGUCUGGUGGGUAGUUUGACUGGGGCGGUCGCCUCCUAAAGAGUAACGGAGGCAUGCAAAGGUUCCCUCAGGCUGUUCGGAAACCAGCCGUUGAGUGCAAACGCAUAAGGGAGCUUGACUGCAAGAGAGACAUCUCGAGCAGGUACGAA